UGAAUUUCAGGAAAACAGCUCAAAAUGACACUUGGAACUGUCAAAAACAAGCAAUUUCCCGCGCCACGGGUAGAUAGCUAACCGAAUCACGUGACAAACCCUGAAUCCAGAAAUACGAAAGGAUUUCCUUUCGAGGGUUCAGGAAAACGAAAAAAAUCAGAAUAGAAAUCUCCUGUAUCUCACGACGUUGCUAAAAUAACAGUUGUGGUUUCGAAAUGUUUUUUUUGCGCUUUCAUUUGCUUGCUGUCGGUUUCAUCGUGGAAGUGGAAGCCUCUACUCGAAAAAGCGGAGUUUCUGGAAACCGUGCUGGAGGAAAAGUUCUCCCCGGAGGAUCCUCCGGCGCAGUUACAAAAUCAACUGCUCGCCGAAUGGUUCUGCGACGUUCAACUCGCAGCCCAGUUUUUCACCAUCAAACAUAUGGUUGAGCUGGCGAAAUAUAUGAAUUCUUAUGAACGUGCCAAUGAGACCAGCAGCGACGUCGUUAUUUUAUGAAUACAACUUUUUCUAAUAUUAUGCUGCUUCUCAUAAAGAAU
Uranotaenia lowii is the source of this 533-nucleotide long non-coding RNA. RefSeq lists it as uncharacterized. Lineage: Eukaryota; Metazoa; Arthropoda; Insecta; Diptera; Culicidae. The transcript is spliced from 3 exons. The record is from RefSeq and is a predicted model, not a curated record.